CACACCGAGCUUCAAGGUUAGAUCCAAGAGCAAAAGCCGGCCCAUAAAACGAAAAACGUUAGGCGUUGAGUGAAUGUGUUUGGCCAUCGAAUCGAAAUUGCAGUAGCUACGGGUUUUGUGGUCAAUUUAUCGAUCUUCGAAAUCUUCUCGUGUUCUUGAUCUCACACAGACGAAACGAUGUCGCUCGGGCCAAAUGACAGGACCGUAGCCGACGAGGGCUUGCAGAAGAAGCGUCGCGAAGGCCUCAAUGCUCGGCAACAGUUCCCCACUCCUCUUUAGACUUCCACCGUCGACAAGAAGGUACUGCAACCUCCUCUUCGUAUUCCAUGCUCUUCGCGGUUUCGGAAGCUGCUUUCAAUCGCAUCUGGAUCUUCUGAGAACACUAAAGUGGUGAUUGAUUAUGGGCCACUUCCUAUAAUUGUCAAGCUACUUAGUUCACUCAGUGAUGAUGUCGGGGAACAGGCGGUGUGGGAAUGUUGCUGGUGACUCACCUAGGUGCCGUGAUCUAGUGCUCCGCUAGGGUGCCCUCAUCCCACUAUUGGCCCAGUUGAAUGAUCAUGCAAGACUUUCAAUGCAGAGAAAUGCCACAUGGACAUUAUCAAACUUUUUAAGGGGCAAGCCACUGCCUCAAUUUGAGCACGUAAUACCUUUACUCUCUUUAUUGGUUAAUUUAAAUCAAACUUUUGGGAUAUCCUCUUUUUGCAUAUUCUUACUGCUAAUAUUAUGGUGGAUAGGUGAGGCCAGCUCUUGAGCGUUUAGUGUGUUUUUUUUUUUUUUUUUUCAAUGAUGGAGAAGUUUUGACAGAUGUAUGCUGGCAUUAUCAUAUCUUUCUACGAAUUCAACGGUUAGGCUUGGACCAAUUCUUCAGAUGAGAUGAUCUGACUCUAACCUCACUUAUGUUAAUAGCAGAAUCUCCCCAACUGCAAAGCAAAUCCUACAACACUGAGCACGUGUUAAUUGUUUAAGAUCAGAUGAUGUUUAAUGCUAAUGACAUUUUUUUCAAUUUUAAUUUGAAAGAACUUUCAUAAAUUUAUUUGAAGACCCCAAAUUUUGUCAAUCUUGCACACUAGUCUUCUUGUAAGUAGGAGAUGCGUUGGAAAGAAAGUGGGUCUCCCGCCAAAUGGAUCUCUUGAGAGGAUCAGCAUGUGUGGGAAAAUAAUGUCUUGGGUUCCUUAAACUUAACUUAUAUAGCACAUGAUUCAGUAGGAGUUUUUGUGACUCGUUAUAGGUGUAACUCUGUGACUGAGAGUAUUUGCAAUGGGGUUCCUAUGAUCAGCAGGCCUUUCUUUGGAGUUCAAGGGACAACUGCAAGUAUGAUGGACGAUGUUUGGGAGAUUGGGUUGAUAAUAGAAGGAUAGAGGGGGAAGAAGAUUGAGGAACAACUUCACUUGCUUAAAAGCUUGAAUCUGAUUCCUGCAGGAAGAGGGGAAGAAGAUUAGAAGCAAUGCCCUUAAUGUGAAGGAGACCGUGCAAGAUGCAGUGAGGCCUGAAAGGCAACCGGUCUAGGAAGGUAAAUUGCUUUCCUGCACCCCCAAAGCGUUUUGGGGUCACGGGGUUACAUAAAAUUUGAAUUUAAACAUCUUAUCAUCAAUUCUUUUGUGCGUGGUAUCAGAAAAACUUGUGCCCAGUCUCUUUAAAUUAAAUAAAAGAAUGACCUCCGUCUAGUCUCUUUUCGGUUGUUAUUGGACAUUUGUUCUUCCAUAAU
Long non-coding RNA from Gastrolobium bilobum, 1705 nucleotides. RefSeq lists it as uncharacterized. The transcript is spliced from 3 exons. Lineage: Eukaryota; Viridiplantae; Streptophyta; Magnoliopsida; Fabales; Fabaceae. The record is from RefSeq and is a predicted model, not a curated record.